GGUUUCUCAGUGUAGCCUUGGCUGUCCUGGAACUCACUCUAUAGACCAGGCUGGCCUCUAACUCAGAGAUUUGCCUGCCUCUGCCUCCUGAGUGCUGGGAUUAAAGGCAUGCGCUACCACUGCCC
Molecule: microRNA precursor, 125 nt
Filed under: Microtus ochrogaster (prairie vole)
Lineage: Eukaryota; Metazoa; Chordata; Mammalia; Rodentia; Cricetidae
Description: miRNA (ENSMOCG00000006243.1)
Source: RNAcentral